Molecule: non-coding RNA, 28 nt
Filed under: Drosophila erecta
Lineage: Eukaryota; Metazoa; Arthropoda; Insecta; Diptera; Drosophilidae
Also listed under: 12 other names
Source: RNAcentral
GCAUUGGUGGUUCAGUGGUAGAAUUCUC